AUUGAACGCUGGCGGCAUGCUUUACACAUGCCAGUCGAACGGCAGCGCGGGCUUCGGCCUGGCGGCGAGUGGCGAACGGGUGAGUAAUACAUCGGAACGUGCCCAGUAGUUGGGGAUAGCUCGGCGAAAGCCGGAUUAAUACCGCAUACGACCUGAGGGUGAAAGCGGGGGAUCUUCGGACCUCGCGCUAUUGGAGCGGCCGAUGGCAGAUUAGCCAGUUGGUGGGGUAAAGGCCUACCAAGGCGACGAUCUGUAGCUGGUCUGAGAGGACGACCAGCCACACUGGGACUGAGACACGGCCCAGACUCCUACGGGAGGCAGCAGUGGGGAAUUUUGGACAAUGGGCGAAAGCCUGAUCCAGCAAUGCCGCGUGUGUGAUGAAGGCCUUCGGGUUGUAAAGCACUUUUGGCGGGAACGAAAAGGACUGUGCCAAUACCACGGUUCGAUGACGGUACCCGCAGAAUAAGCACCGGCUAACUACGUG
This 484-nucleotide ribosomal RNA is filed under the name uncultured bacterium. RNAcentral's name for it is "partial 16S ribosomal RNA". It matches the Rfam family "Bacterial small subunit ribosomal RNA", at positions 29 to 507 of the family's 1533-position model. The record is from RNAcentral.